AUUGAACGCUGGCGGCAUGCUUUACACAUGCAAGUCGAACGGCAGCGCGGGCUUCGGCCUGGCGGCGAGUGGCGAACGGGUGAGUAAUGCAUCGGAACGUGCCCAGUAGUGGGGGAUAGCCCGGCGAAAGCCGGAUUAAUACCGCAUACGACCUGAGGGUGAAAGCGGGGGACCGAAAGGCCUCGCGCUAUUGGGGCGGCCGAUGUCGGAUUAGCUAGUUGGUGGGGUAAAGGCUUACCAAGGCGACGAUCCGUAGCUGGUCUGAGAGGAGGACCAGCCACACUGGGACUGAGACACGGCCCAGACUCCUACGGGAGGCAGCAGUGGGGAAUUUUGGACAAUGGGGGCAACCCUGAUCCAGCCAUGCCGCGUGCGGGAAGAAGGCCUUCGGGUUGUAAACCGCUUUUGUUCGGGAAGAAAUCCUCUGGGCUAAUACCCCGGGGGGAUGACGGUACCGGAAGAAUAAGCACCGGCUAACUACGUG
RNAcentral lists this ribosomal RNA (484 nucleotides) under uncultured bacterium. Its description in RNAcentral is "partial 16S ribosomal RNA". It matches the Rfam family "Bacterial small subunit ribosomal RNA", at positions 28 to 507 of the family's 1533-position model. The record is from RNAcentral.